ACACGUAGGGGCCUGACGUUGUUCGGAAUCAUUGGGCGUAAAGGGCGCGCAGGCGGCCGUCCAAGUCCGGUGUUAAAUGGUCGGGCUCAACCCGAUCAUGCGCUGGAAACUGGGCGGCUGGAGUCCCGGAGGGGAUGCCGGAAUUCCAGGUGUAGGGGGGAAAUCUGUAGAUAUCUGGAAGAACACCGAUGGCGAAGGCAGGCAUCUGGCCGGAGACUGACGCUGAGGCGCGAAGGCGCGGGGAGCGAACAGGUUUAGAUACCCUGGUAGUCCGCGCAGUAAACGAUGCGCACCAGGUGUCGGGCGGCAGCGCCCGGUACCGGAGCAAACGCGAUGAGUGCGCCGCCUGGGGAGUAUGCCCGCAAGGGUGAAACUCAAAGGAAUUGACGGG
This 391-nucleotide ribosomal RNA is filed under the name uncultured bacterium. RNAcentral describes it as "partial 16S ribosomal RNA". It matches the Rfam family "Bacterial small subunit ribosomal RNA", at positions 523 to 917 of the family's 1533-position model. The record is from RNAcentral.